CCUACGGGAGGCAGCAGUGAGGAAUAUUGGUCAAUGGACGAGAGUCUGAACCAGCCAAGUAGCGUGCAGGAUGACUGCCCUAUGGGUUGUAAACUUCUUUUAUACGGGAAUAAACUGUUAUACGUGUGGGUUUCUGUAUGUACCAUAUGAAUAAGGAUCGGCUAACUCCGUGCCAGCAGCCGCGGUAAUACGGAGGAUUCGAGCGUUAUCCGGAUUUAUUGGGUUUAAAGGGAGCGUAGGUGGAUUGUUAAGUUAGUUGUGAAAUUUUGGGGCUCAACUUUAGAAUUGCAGCUGAAACUGUCAGUCUUGAGAACAGUAGAGGUAGGCGGAAUGCGUGGUGUAGCGGUGAAAUGCUUAGAGAUCACGAAGAACACCGAUUGCGAAGGCAGCUCACUGGACUGCAACUGACACUGAGGCUCGAAAGUGUGGGUAUCAAACAGGAUUAGAUACCCGGGUAGUC
RNAcentral lists this ribosomal RNA (460 nucleotides) under uncultured bacterium. RNAcentral's name for it is "partial 16S ribosomal RNA". It matches the Rfam family "Bacterial small subunit ribosomal RNA", at positions 338 to 795 of the family's 1533-position model. The record is from RNAcentral.